Zingiber officinale is the source of this 1692-nucleotide long non-coding RNA. RefSeq lists it as uncharacterized. The record is from RefSeq and is a predicted model, not a curated record. The transcript is spliced from 4 exons. NCBI's taxonomy places the organism in Eukaryota, Viridiplantae, Streptophyta, Magnoliopsida, Zingiberales, Zingiberaceae.
GAAGUGGUUUGCGCUAUAUGGCCGCUCGAGCUUUCUCCCAUCUUCAUCUUGUAAAUAUUAAGCUCUCAAUCAGAACUUUUGAAUAACUUUAUAGCGUCCUCCCCAUGAGACUUCUAGCUUAGUGACAUCGCCAACAGACUUCACCCUUUUUCAUACCAAGUCGCCGACUUAGAAUGACCUUGGAAUCACCCUCUGAUUAUAGCUUUCCUUCAUGUGUUGCCGGUAUGCCAUAAGCCGAAUGACGGCCUUAUCUUGGUUUUCAGUGCCUUCACCCUCUGCAUCCGUACAAGUCUUCAGUGGCUUCUCCGCCGUUAAAUGCUUCUGUUUCUCCAUCCCCCUCUUCGCUAUCUUGGUUUUCCACCACCUCCGGUCCUCUCUCAUCGAAUCAGCCCAAUGAUUCUGCCCCACAAGUUUCUUCCGAGCACACUCUUCCGGAGCUUCCUGAUCUUCUUCUCCCUCACCGAAAUCAAAGACUUUGCCUUUAAGUCCACAGUCUUCUUCUCACCCAUCGGAAUCGAAGACUUUACCUUUCUGCUCACAGUUCCAAUCGGCUGAUGCCAGUUGGAGAUCGCCGCGAACAACCAUAAGCAAGCAAAAGCACACGCCUGACACAAGAGAUGGAAAUCCUGAACUCAAUGGGAAAACUGCCAAGGUGCCUGAUUCCACUCACAUUUGAGUCAUGCAUCAGGCCUCGACGAAGCCUUUUAAACCCUCCUUAAAUGCUUCUGCUUCUCCCUUGACCUCUUCAGUCUCAUCCAAACUUCAUGUGGUCACCGAUCAUCUUUCAUCGAAGUGUUCUUCUGUACUCCCUGCCUCAUCAUCAAAUGGGUCUUCUACUCAAGUCUGGAUCAAGCGUCAAUCGACCUUGAAUCACCAUGACAAAUCAUCGCUUUUGUCAUCAACUACUCUUCCAUCAAAUACCUCCAACUUCACAAAUACGUUUGGUUCCUUUUUCCAAAUGAGACAAAUCAUCAUGAUUCUACAAGGAACUACUCAUCCUAGUAGAAUUUAGUUGUCAGGUUUUAGGCUUCUUAUAUCUAGUAUGAUUGGAGGCCGACUUUAUCAAAGAUGUUACAUUAUUUUCAUUUUUUUAGCAGCUGCAUAUUCAGCCUUCAACAAGUAAGAUUCCACUCCAGAGGAAGCAUCAAAACAAUAUGAUGAACGUAUCUAUGGCUUUUUCACUGAUGGGAUAAUUGUAUUAACCUGCUUAUCCCCAAUUGCAAAGGCUAAUCGACAAAAGAUACCAAGUCGUCACAAAAGAUUAAGAGCCUCAUCUUUGUGGAGCAAAAGAUUCUUGGCUCGGUGGUUUGUCAUUGCCAGUGGCGAUUAUGCAGUCAACAAGUGAUUGAUAGACUUGGUUAUUCACAGCUGGGGAAGGAUAAAACACCUGAGGAGAGAAGGAUUGUCAUUUGCAUCUUUGAUGAUGUUGUAGAGCAAUGCAGAGAAGCAGCUCUUAGAUAUUAUGAUACCUACCUUCCUUUCCUUUUAGAAGCAUGUAAUGAUGAUAAUGCAGAUGUUAGGCAGAUGAGGAGUGAUCCUUCCUCUUUCAUAUCAUAUGUACAUGAGCUCUUGCUAUCCAUUCAACACAUAUGCAUAUAACUUCAAUGGAAUAUGGUUGUUAUUUCUAAGUAAAUAUUUCCAAACUGUUGUUUAUGGUGUUGAUAUUUGUGCUGAAUUUGACAGUUCUGUGUU